RNAcentral lists this ribosomal RNA (386 nucleotides) under uncultured bacterium. RNAcentral describes it as "bacterial SSU rRNA". It matches the Rfam family "Bacterial small subunit ribosomal RNA", at positions 9 to 377 of the family's 1533-position model. The record is from RNAcentral.
GAGUUUGAUCUUGGCUCAGGAUGAACGCUGGCGGCGUGCUUAACACAUGCAAGUCGAGCGAAGCACUUUACUUUGAUUUCUUCGGAAUGAAGAGUGAUUUGACUGAGCGGCGGACGGGUGAGUAACGCGUGGGCAACCUGCCUCAUACAGGGGGAUAACAGUUAGAAAUGACUGCUAAUACCGCAUAAGACCACAGUACCGCAUGGUAUGGUGGUAAAACUCCGGUGGUAUGAGAUGGGCCCCGCGUCUGAUUAGGUAGUUGGUGGGUAACGGCCCACCAAGGCGAUGAUCAGUAGCCGGUCUGAGAGGAUGAACGGCCACAUUGGGACUGAGACACGGCCCAGACUCCUACGGGAGCAGCAGUGGGGAAUCUUCCGCAAUGGACG